CUUGCUUCUCCGCCGGCGACCGGCGCACGGGUGAGUAACACGUAUGGAACCUGCCCGCCACAGGGGGAUAACCCGGGGAAACCCGGCCUAAUACCCCAUGCCGCCCGGACCGGGCAUCCGGUCCGGGCGAAAGGAGGAAUCCGGUGGCGGCUGGGCAUGCGGCGCAUUAGCUUGACGGCGGGGUAACGGCCCACCGUGGCGACGAUGCGUAGGGGUUCUGAGAGGAAGGCCCCCCACACUGGAACCGAGACACGGUCCAGACUCCUACGGAAGGCAGCAG
Molecule: ribosomal RNA, 280 nt
Filed under: uncultured bacterium
Lineage: Bacteria
Description: partial 16S ribosomal RNA
Rfam family: Bacterial small subunit ribosomal RNA
Source: RNAcentral